This 750-nucleotide ribosomal RNA is filed under the name uncultured bacterium. Its description in RNAcentral is "bacterial SSU rRNA". It matches the Rfam family "Bacterial small subunit ribosomal RNA", at positions 28 to 776 of the family's 1533-position model. The record is from RNAcentral.
AUUGAACGCUGGCGGCAGGCUUAACACAUGCAAGUCGAGCGAUGAAGGUACUGCUUGCAGUACUGGAUUAGCGGCGGACGGGUGAGUAACACUUAGGAAUCUACUAGUAAUGGGGGAUAGCCCGGAGAAAUCCGGAUUAAUACCGCAUACGACCUACGGGUGAAAGGGGGCACUUGUGCUCUCGUUAUUAGAUGAGCCUAAGCUGGAUUAGCUAGAUGGUGGGGUAAGAGCCUACCAUGGCGACGAUCUAUAGCUGGUCUGAGAGGAUGAUCAGCCACACUGGGACUGAGACACGGCCCAGACUCCUACGGGAGGCAGCAGUGGGGAAUAUUGGACAAUGGGGGCAACUCUGAUCCAGCCAUGCCGCGUGUGUGAAGAAGGCCUUUUGGUUGUAAAGCACUUUAAGCAGUGAGGAAAAGCUAUAUGUUAAUACCAUAUAGUCCUGACGUUAACUGCAGAAUAAGCACCGGCUAACUCUGUGCCAGCAGCCGCGGUAAUACAGAGGGUGCGAGCGUUAAUCGGAAUUACUGGGCGUAAAGCGAGCGUAGGUGGUCUAAUAAGUCAGAUGUGAAAUCCCCGGGCUUAACCUGGGAACUGCAUCUGAAACUGUUAAACUAGAGUAGGUGAGAGGAGAGUAGAAUUCCAGGUGUAGCGGUGAAAUGCGUAGAGAUCUGGAGGAAUACCGAUGGCGAAGGCAGCUCUCUGGCAUCAUACUGACACUGAGGUUCGAAAGCGUGGGUAGCAAACAGG